RNAcentral lists this ribosomal RNA (536 nucleotides) under uncultured Streptococcus sp. Its description in RNAcentral is "bacterial SSU rRNA". The stretch from base 12 to 368 matches the Rfam family "Bacterial small subunit ribosomal RNA", at positions 39 to 400 of the family's 1533-position model. The record is from RNAcentral. Lineage: Bacteria; Bacillati; Bacillota; Bacilli; Lactobacillales; Streptococcaceae.
AUUGAACGCUGGCGGCAUGCCUUACACAUGCAAGUCGAACGGCAGCACGGGAGCAAUCCUGGUGGCGAGUGGCGAACGGGUGAGUAAUACAUCGGAACGUGCCCAAUCGUGGGGGAUAACGCAGCGAAAGCUGUGCUAAUACCGCAUACGAUCUACGGAUGAAAGCAGGGGAUCGCAAGACCUUGCGCGAAUGGAGCGGCCGAUGGCAGAUUAGGUAGUUGGUGAGGUAAAGGCUCACCAAGCCGUCGAUCUGUAGCUGGUCUGAGAGGACGACCAGCCACACUGGGACUGAGACACGGCCCAGACUCCUACGGGAGGCAGCUUGGGGAACUUUGGACCCUGGGCAAAAGACAGAUCAUACCUCCCGCCUGCCGCCCGCACGCCGGCGGGUUCGAAAUUGCUAUCCUCCCCAAUAUACAUCCUUUCUUCCUGCAGAAGGAUACUGACGGGUCCGCAGAACAAUGUGGGGGACUCUCUCUCAGAACCCCUAUCAUCGCGCCGGGCGAGCGCUCCCUCUCCACCUCCUCUCAAACGAU